CCUACGGGUGGCAGCAGUGAGGAAUAUUGGUCAAUGGCCGUAAGGCUGAACCAGCCAAGUAGCGUGAGGGAAGACUGCCCUAUGGGUUGUAAACCUCUUUUAUGCGGGGAUAAAGGUGUCCACGUGUCGAGUGUUGCAGUGAGCGACUGCAUGACCACGUGGUCAUGCAGCUCCAGCAGCCGCGGUAAUACGGAAGGUCCGGGCGUUAUCCGGAUUGAUGGGGUUUAAAGGGAGCGUAGGCCGGUCUUUAAGCGUGCCGUGAAAUUUUGUGGCUCAACCAUGAGAGUGCGGCGCGAACUGGAGACCUUGUGUGCGCGGAAGGCAGGCGGAAUUCGUGGUGUAGCGGUGAAAUGCUUAGAUAUCACGAAGAACCCCGAUUGCGAAGGCAGCCUGCCGCAGCGUUACUGACGCUGAAGCUCGAAAGCGCGGGUAUCGAACAGGAUUAGAUACCCUGGUAGUC
Molecule: ribosomal RNA, 460 nt
Filed under: uncultured bacterium
Lineage: Bacteria
Description: partial 16S ribosomal RNA
Rfam family: Bacterial small subunit ribosomal RNA
Source: RNAcentral